Molecule: ribosomal RNA, 241 nt
Filed under: Lactococcus lactis
Lineage: Bacteria; Bacillati; Bacillota; Bacilli; Lactobacillales; Streptococcaceae
Description: partial 16S ribosomal RNA
Rfam family: Bacterial small subunit ribosomal RNA
Source: RNAcentral
AAGCAAUUGCUUCACUCAAAGAUGAUCCCGCGUUGUAUUAGCUAGUUGGUAAGGUAAAGGCUCACCAAGGCGAUGAUACAUAGCCGACCUGAGAGGGUGAUCGGCCACAUUGGGACUGAGACACGGCCCAAACUCCUACGGGAGGCAGCAGUAGGGAAUCUUCGGCAAUGGGGGCAACCCUGACCGAGCAACGCCGCGUGAGUGAAGAAGGUUUUCGGAUCGUAAAACUCUGUUGGUAGAG